GACGAACGCUGGCGGCGUGCUUAACACAUGCAAGUCGAACGGAAAGGCGCUGCUUUUGUGGGGUGCUCGAGUGGCGAACGGGUGAGUAACACGUGAGUAAACUGCCCUUGACUUUGGGAGAACUUCAGGAAAAUGGGGCUAAUACCGGAUAGGAGAUCCUGCAGCAUGGGGGGGGUUGGAAAGUUACGGCGGUUGGGGAUGGAUUCGCGGGUUAUGCGCUGGUUGGGGGGGUAGUGGCUUACCAAGGCUUUGACGGGUAGCCGGCCUGGGAGGGUGACCGGGCACCUUGCGCCUGAGAGACGCCCCAGUCUGCUAUGUUCCGCAGUGGGCGGGAGUCUUGCACAGUGGGCCCGCGCCUGAUACAGAGACGUUCCGUUCGUGAAGCCGUGUUUCGGGUUGAGAACCACUGUCUCCUGAACCGAAGACGGCUUGACGGUACCUAAUCAGGAAGCCCCGGCUAACUACGUG
This 468-nucleotide ribosomal RNA is filed under the name uncultured bacterium. RNAcentral's name for it is "partial 16S ribosomal RNA". It matches the Rfam family "Bacterial small subunit ribosomal RNA", at positions 28 to 507 of the family's 1533-position model. The record is from RNAcentral.